CAGCCCCUCGAGUGGUGGGGAUGAUUAUUUGGCCUAAAGCGUCCGUAGCCGGCCGAGUAAGUCCCCCGUUAAAUCCAGCGUCUCAAGCGUUGGACUGCGGGAGAUACUACUUGGCUAGAGAGUGGGAGAGGUCAGCGGUAUUCUGGGGGUAGGGGCGAAAUCCUUUGAUCCCCGGAGGACCACCAGUGACGAAGGCUGCUGACUAGAACACGUCUGACGGUCAGGGACGAAAGCUGGGGUAGCGAACCGGAUUAGAUACCCGAGUAGUCC
RNAcentral lists this ribosomal RNA (270 nucleotides) under uncultured archaeon. RNAcentral describes it as "partial 16S ribosomal RNA". It matches the Rfam family "Archaeal small subunit ribosomal RNA", at positions 477 to 747 of the family's 1478-position model. The record is from RNAcentral.